GGGGAAUAUUGCACAAUGGGGGAAACCCUGAUGCAGCGACGCCGCGUGGAGGAAGAAGGUCUUCGGAUUGUAAACUCCUGUUGUUGAGGAAGAUAAUGACGGUACUCAACAAGGAAGUGACGGCUAACUACGUGCCAGCAGCCGCGGUAAAACGUAGGUCACAAGCGUUGUCCGGAAUUACUGGGUGUAAAGGGAGCGCAGGCGGGAAGACAAGUUGGAAGUGAAAUCCAUGGGCUCAACCCAUGAACUGCUUUCAAAACUGUUUUUCUUGAGUAGUGCAGAGGUAGGCGGAAUUCCCGGUGUAGCGGUGGAAUGCGUAGAUAUCGGGAGGAACACCAGUGGCGAAGGCGGCCUACUGGGCACCAACUGACGCUGAGGCUCGAAAGUGUGGGUAGCAAACAGGAUUAGAUACCCUGGUAGUCCACACCGUAAACGAUGAUUACUAGGUGUUGGAGGAUUGACCCCUUCAGUGCCGCAGUUAACACAAUAAGUAAUCCACCUGGGGAGUACGACCGCAAGGUUGAAACUCAAAGGAAUUGACGGGGGCCCGCACAAGCAGUGGAGUAUGUGGUUUAAUUCGACGCAACGCGAAGAACCUUACCAAGUCUUGACAUCCGUUGACCGACAUAGAAAUAUGUUUUUCCUUCGGGACAGCGAGACAGGUGGUGCAUGGUUGUCGUCAGCUCGUGUCGUGAGAUGUUGGGUUAAGUCCCGCAACGAGCGCAACCCUUAUGGUCAGUUACUACGCAAGAGGACUCUGGCCAGACUGCCGUUGACAAAACGGAGGAAGGUGGGGAUGACGUCAAAUCAUCAUGCCCUUUAUGACUUGGGCUACACACGUACUACAAUGGCGUUAAACAAAGAGAAGCAAGACCGCGAGGUGGAGCAAAACUCAGAAACAACGUCCCAGUUCGGACUGCAGGCUGCAACUCGCCUGCACGAAGUCGGAAUUGCUAGUAAUCGUGGAUCAGCAUGCCACGGUGAAUACGUUCCCG
RNAcentral lists this ribosomal RNA (995 nucleotides) under uncultured bacterium. RNAcentral describes it as "bacterial SSU rRNA". It matches the Rfam family "Bacterial small subunit ribosomal RNA", at positions 356 to 1376 of the family's 1533-position model. The record is from RNAcentral.